RNAcentral lists this ribosomal RNA (423 nucleotides) under uncultured bacterium. Its description in RNAcentral is "bacterial SSU rRNA". It matches the Rfam family "Bacterial small subunit ribosomal RNA", at positions 917 to 1344 of the family's 1533-position model. The record is from RNAcentral.
GGGCCCGCACAAGCGGUGGAGCAUGUGGUUUAAUUCGAUGCAACGCGAAGAACCUUACCAGGGCUUGACAUACUACGAAUUCUUUUGAGAAAAAGAAGUGCCUUCGGGAAUGUAGAUACAGGUGGUGCAUGGCUGUCGUCAGCUCGUGUCGUGAGAUGUUGGGUUAAGUCCCGCAACGAGCGCAACCCUUAUUUUUAGUUACUCAUUCGUGAGGUUCUCUAGAAAGACUGCCGGUGACAAACCGGAGGAAGGUGAGGAUGACGUCAAGUCAGCAUGCCCCUUAUGUCCUGGGCUACACACGUGCUACAAUGGCUAAGACAAAGAGUCGCGAGCUUGCGAAAGUCAGCUAAUCUCAUAAACUUAGCCUAAGUUCAGAUUGUAGGCUGCAACUCGCCUACAUGAAGUUGGAAUCGCUAGUAAUCG